AUGUCGAGCGAUAGCGAGGACGACAGUUCGGACAGUAGUCUGGCGCCCGAUGAUAGGUCAACAUCAGAAUCAUCCCGCUCGUCUUCCAGGAGUCCAGCGUCAAGCCCAGACCUCGAUUAUAUCCGGUUCAUGGAAGGGAAGCUGCCUCCGGAGUCGUCAGACGGCAACCAGACGGACAAGGAGCCGCCGGAGGGCGAAGAAGAGGACGACAAUGAUGAGAAGGAGGAAUGGUCGAACGAGCAGGAGGACGACGAUGACAACAACGACGAUGACGAUGGCGGCAGUGAUGAAAAGCCAACGGUCAGCAGCAAGAAGCAUCCUCGCCAAGACGAUGUCGCGGGGCCAUCCAACAAGAACAACAAGAAGAAGAAGGACUAA
Molecule: ribosomal RNA, 378 nt
Filed under: Triticum aestivum (bread wheat)
Lineage: Eukaryota; Viridiplantae; Streptophyta; Magnoliopsida; Poales; Poaceae
Description: partial small subunit ribosomal RNA
Source: RNAcentral